Phoenix dactylifera (date palm) is the source of this 475-nucleotide non-coding RNA. Lineage: Eukaryota; Viridiplantae; Streptophyta; Magnoliopsida; Arecales; Arecaceae. The record is from RefSeq and is a predicted model, not a curated record.
UAAGCACUCUCUGAGCGAGACUACUUUGGAGCUCGAGAAUGAUAUGAUGGUUACAUACCUUCAAAGUUUGAAGCUCCAAGUAAGUUAAUUUCGAGGACAAAAUUUCUUUUAAGGGGGGAAGAAUGUGAGAGCCCAGUUCAUUAACCGGCCCGCAUACAGCUAGACCAGUGGGCCAGGCCUAUUGGCCGUUGCGGCCUCUAACUCUUCGGGGGCUAUAAAAGCUUCGAACGUCCUUCCUCAGCGAUAGGGUUUUCUGAACCCACGUUGAUGCCGCCGGAGAGGGGCGUCGCAGUUCAUCCCCGAAGCCAGGUACAGUGGAGUUGCCCAACUGUACUUAGGGAUUCGUGAGCGAAUCAAUAUGAAUAAGACUACUAGGAGCAGGGAGCUUGGUGUUAUUCAGGGUUGGGGUAAUUGAAAAUAUUAUGUAAUAAUUAAAUUUUAGAAGCUCUGUACUGUUCCAACUUCAUGAACAAUG